Molecule: non-coding RNA, 520 nt
Organism: Odocoileus virginianus texanus
Lineage: Eukaryota; Metazoa; Chordata; Mammalia; Artiodactyla; Cervidae
Source: RefSeq, a predicted model, not a curated record
GGACUAUUCCAGAAAAGCCUUGUUUCUGGAUAGAGGACUGCCUCCGUGGGGUGGAAAUGCUGCAGUGGAAUCCUGUUUGUGCUGAGUUGAAUCUGGGAAUCCAUCAGCCCCACAGAUGCUGUCCUCAACUUGGCACCUCAGCUGAGCCCUCAGAAGAACUUUCCACCUUUGAUCGGGCUGGCUAUUCCUGGAUUAUGGGGUUCAUGAUAGAUGUCUGCAUAUAGCUGUUGUGGAAAUGAAGAUACCCAGAUCACCCUUCAAGGAAAGUCUUGCUGGUUAGCAACAGGGCACCUGGUUGGAAGUCAGCAUCCACCUGUCUUCACCAUCAGAUUUGCCUUAGCAUCAUAGAACUCCUUCACUUGAGGUUACAUCCCUCCGUGAGUAGCUUGCCCCCAGUCUCCGAGAGACACAGGAAUGUAAAGCUCUGGCCUUCAUGACCUGGGCACGAUCUUGUGGUGGGUUAAGACUUCCUUUGGAGUUCCUUGCCAGUUCAACUUUUUCCUCUGCCUGUUUCUGUUGA